This is a long non-coding RNA of Salvelinus sp. IW2-2015, 727 nucleotides long. RefSeq lists it as uncharacterized. The record is from RefSeq and is a predicted model, not a curated record. Lineage: Eukaryota; Metazoa; Chordata; Actinopteri; Salmoniformes; Salmonidae.
GGGGGAGAGGUACAGGAGACGUCCAAACUAGGUGGUGGCCCCGCUCCGUCGAGGCCGUCGGACAUGCUACAGGAGACCAUGGAGGAAUACAUGAGCAAGCCUGCGUUCUAACACUGGGGGAAAUGGAUCUACACACACCAGAAGGAAUCUGGACAAUUACAGAACUGGAGGUCUUCUGUACAGAACCAUGGAGUUAUGAGUUGUACAAGUCUGAAUCUGUGUCCUGAGGCAGGGUGUGUUUUUAAAUUGGGAAGUUCAGUGAAAUGUAUCUUGUUUCUGCAAAUAGGACAAUAACAUGAUGACCAAUAAAUUGGUAGAAAACACUCAUUGAUUGAGCUAUUAUCAAAUGUAUAUUGAUACUGUAUGAUCACCCAUCCCUCUGAAUCAUUGAUGUACAUUGAACUUACUUAAAACUGUGGUUAUGACAAUCAUAAUAUAUCACCAAGUAGUUUUAUAAUCAAUACUCAGAUUAUUAAUAUUUUUUUUCAAAUAUGUACGCUGUAUUGACAUUUUAAGAAGUGCCUUUUUAGAAAUAUAUAUUUGAAGUUGUGUUUUAAAUGUCUCUUGUAGCCUUUUUCUGUGUGACUUGGUGUAGGAUUACACCUUCUUGGAAAGGGAGUGGUUAUUUAUCUGAGUGAAUGUCACUGUUAUUUUUUUUAAUAUAUAACUAAUUAUGGCUCUUGAAUGUUGAAGACUUUGGAAUUAAAAUGUGUAUUUUGAUACAGAA